Molecule: long non-coding RNA, 440 nt
Filed under: Helianthus annuus (common sunflower)
Lineage: Eukaryota; Viridiplantae; Streptophyta; Magnoliopsida; Asterales; Asteraceae
Description: hypothetical non coding rna
Source: RNAcentral
UUCUUUUAAUAUAUUCUUUUUUUUUUCUUUCUUUAAAUAUUAAGCCUAUUAUACUCCAAAGCCCAGCCCCAUUUUAAGUGUUUUAACCCCUGAUCACUGAGUCGAUACCCCGUCCGAUUGAUCUAGAACCCGGCAACGCAUGCCAAGGCUCUGCCUGACUGAGAGUUAUACCCCAAGAUUAUACCAAGAGGCUUUUAGUUGAACCCUAAAGUUACAAAGUGAGUCAUGCUUCUUUUUAUAACCUUUUUGUGAUACCUUUAUAUUUAAAAAAGCUUUACAAAACCCUAAAUGUUUAUCAGUUAUACUUACAAUGAUUAAGUUUUUGUAUUCUACAAUUACUAUCGGUAUGUGGGGUUAUAAUUGGGUUCAAGAUUGAAGGGGUUAAGUUAAAAUACAUAUAUUAUUAAUGUAUUUUUAUAAAAACUGGUUAUGAAUAUAUU